GAAAUGCGAUAACUAGUGUGAAUUGCAGAAUUCCGUGAAUCAUCGAGUCUUUGAACGCACAUUGCGCCCCCUGGUAUUCCGGGGGGCAUGCCUGUCCGAGCGUCAUUGCUGCCCAUCAAGCACGGCUUGUGUGUUGGGUCGUCGUCCCCUCUCCGGGGGGGACGGGCCCCAAAGGCAGCGGCGGCACCGCGUCCGAUCCUCGAGCGUAUGGGGCUUUGUCACCCGCUCUGUAGGCCCGGCCGGCGCUUGCCGAACGCAAAUCAAUCUUUUUCCAGGUUGACCUCGGAUCAGGCAGGGAUACCCGCUGAACUUAAGC
This 316-nucleotide unclassified non-coding RNA is filed under the name plant metagenome. RNAcentral describes it as "partial contains 5.8S ribosomal RNA, internal transcribed spacer 2, and large subunit ribosomal RNA". The stretch from base 1 to 105 matches the Rfam family "5.8S ribosomal RNA", at positions 50 to 154 of the family's 154-position model. The record is from RNAcentral.